This 846-nucleotide long non-coding RNA is filed under the name Homo sapiens (human). Its description in RNAcentral is "HSALNT0394234". The record is from RNAcentral. Lineage: Eukaryota; Metazoa; Chordata; Mammalia; Primates; Hominidae.
UUGGCGCCAGAACUCAGCCAUUCUGAGCCUUUGGCCCAGCUCUUUCCUCCUUCCAGCUGCUCCUGUGCUGGGGCCUCCCAUCUCUUGCUUUUUCUCUUUGGCGUUAACUGUUACUCAGCCCUGCACCCCAACAAAGAAAUGCACCCUGAAAGCCUGUGGCACUAAGAGCAGCUCAGAACACUUAUCACACCUUUCUCCUUGACCCUCACCUCUCUGGAAGAUUAGAAGCAGAAGAUUUAUUGGAUCAACUUCUCAGCUGUGGAAUCUGAGCAAACAGAAGGGAAGUGGCUGAGGGAGGCCUCAGACCAGCUGUAUCCCUGGACCAGAGGUCACAGCGCUGGCUAAGGAAACCUUCCAUGCAGGAGUGCUGUGAGCUGAGCAGUGCAUAAGAAAAGAGUGUUUGUGGGAAUCAGCAUUUUACCACCUGGCAGACCUGCCUGGGCUGUAGCAGAGCCUCCCCACUCAGUGGACAAGGGACAGGAGGGAUCAAAGGUUGAGGAAAGAUAUUAUUUCAAUCAAGAUAAUGAUUCUACUUCUUGAACGGAAAUGAGAUUUUUUUUCAUUGCCUCAUGGGGGUGCCACCAACAUCUGUCUCCGGGCUGGAACAGGUCAUGAACAAGUUAGAGGAUUUUCUUGUAACCUGAGAGAGAGUGUAAACAUGAAGGAGAACUGAAAGAAGGGAGCUUGCUUGCAAGAGAAAAACAUAUCUGCCAGGCCUCCACGAUUAUAAAAUAAGCUCAAUUUGGAAAAUGUACACUGGCAUUGAACAGAGCAUUCAAGACCGAACUUCAGAAGGUGUCUUCUCUUCCUGAACUGGACUGAAAGCUCCUCCAAAACAGAGCCAAU